GUCUACAGCCAUGCUACCCUGAACAAGCCCAAUCCCGUCUGAUCUUGGAAGCUAAGCAGGGUCAGGCCUGGUUAGUACGUGGAAGGGAGACCACCUAGGAAGACCAGGUGCUGUAGGUG
This 119-nucleotide ribosomal RNA is filed under the name Pteropus alecto (black flying fox). The record is from RNAcentral. Lineage: Eukaryota; Metazoa; Chordata; Mammalia; Chiroptera; Pteropodidae.